AUAUUUGGUACAAUAAAAACAAUUUAAAAAAUAAUAAAAUGAAAUCUUGGUUAUAUAAUGAAACUGAUACAACUGUUACCAGUACAAGCAAAAACUGCUAGGAUUGCUGGUUUUAGGUGUGGACUUAUUUUGGUAUAUUUCUGGGAAAGGGCUCUGGUAAUCUUGGAUGUCAUGAAUGUCUAGUAGAGCAAGGUAGGUAUAGCCAAUUUUCAAAGUGUGUAUCACUUACAGAUUAAAUCCAGGAUCUUUAAUUGCACUCAGGAACUGAUGGGAUCCCAUUGAAGUGAAUUGAGCACAGGCAUAAUGAGCUCACACGGGCCUGCUUUUCUAAGCACAUGGACCAAUGGAUUCUGCUGUCCCUUAUGUAGAACUCUUAUUCCUCUCUGAGGGCGCCUCCAGCCGACUUCACCGAGGCCAGCCAGGAGCACUCACGGGAUGACGGUUUUCCAACAUUUUGUACCUUCUGCCAUCAGGAAAGGAAGGGGAGGGGAUGCUGCUGUUCAGCGCCACAGCACCGCGUCUACCAGCAGCAUGCAGUAGACCUAUGGUGAAAUUGAAAAAUGGGAAGAAACGAUUUUUUCCCCUUUUCUUUCACGAGGGGUGAGGGGGAGGCGUAAAUUGAUGAGAGAGACCCUGAACCACCCCGGACAAUGUUUUUGACUCUACAGGCAUUGGGAGCUCAGCCAAGAAUGCAAAUACUUUUCGGAGACUGCGAGGACUGUGGGAUAGCUGGAGUCCUCAGUCCCCCCUCCCUCCCUCCAUGAGCGUCCAUUUGAUUCUUUGGCUUUCCAUUACGCUUGUCACACAGCACUGUGCUGAGUUCCUGCUGUGGCCUCUGUCUAUCAUAGCCUGGAGAUUUUUUCAAAUGCUUCAUCAUUUAGUCUUCUGUAACGGAACUCUGAUAGAACAGAUUUGUCUCCCCAUACAGCGAUCAGAUCCAGUAUCUCCCCUACAGUCCAUGCUGGAGCUCUUUUUGGAUUUGGGACUGCAUGGCCACCCGUACUGAUCAGAGCUCCACACUGGGCAAACAGGAAAUGAAAUUCAAAAGUUCGCGGGGCUUUUUCUGUCUACCUGGCCAGUCCAUCCAAGUUCAGAUUGCUUUCCAGAGCGGUCACAAUGGUGCACUGUGGGAUACCGCCUGGAAGCCAAUACGGUCGAUUUGUGGCCACAAUAACCUUAAUCCGACAUGGCAAUACCAAUUUCAGCGCUGCUACUCUCGUUGAGGAGAAGUACAGAAAUCGGUUUAAAGAGCCCUUUAUAUCAAUAUAAAGGGCCUUGUGAGGACGAGUGCAGGGUGAAAUCGGUUUAAUGCUGCUAAAUUUGGUUUAAAUGCGUAAUGUAGACCAGACCUGAGAAAAAAACGAGGCUGCAUUUUGUCAGCCAGUCUAAUAGGUUGGUGAAAAAUCUUUCAUCUAUUAACUUAAAUAUCUGGCUCUCCAAGUACUGGGAGUAUUGAUUAUCCAGGAGGCCCUCCAAACUGUUGCUCUUUGGCUACAUCCAAUUAGCAUUUUUCUUAAAAUUUCCCAUCACUGGUGUACCAGCAGUGGUAGCAAUGGUGGGAGGACAAGUAUAGACCUACUGCCACCAGCUCUGUGGAGGAGGCUUUAGAGAUGUCUUUUAUUAGUUUUCAUUCUUGCAUGUAGACUGCAGAUUUAAUGUCUUGGAGUAAUCCGGCUGGGAUAAUUAAAGAUGGUGUUGUCAACUAAUUUAACUCCAGGUGACUCAUCCAAAACCCCUUUUUCCCUAAUCUAAUCAGUGACUAUUAAAUUAACUGUUUCACUCCCAAUAUAAGUGUGUUGGUUUCCAUCUCAAACAAUUACAACAAGAAAUUAAAAUUGUAGAAAAUAUACCAUGAAAAGAGAUUUGUGUCCUGUGUUAAUUGUGUUCGGGCUUUAUGAUGUUGACAGCUGUCCACUAUGAACUGCAGACCUCCAACUAGCUUCUCGUAUAGCCAUGAAAUAGCCAUCAUAUGGUAACAUUUUUCAAUCACUACCAAUCAGGAGGACUUGAAUUGAUGCUUUCAGAUACAAUUACAUUAUUUUAUCAUUGGUGUAAUUGUUGAUGUUAGAGUAGUUUUGUGGUUUUUAUCUUCUGUUUCUAUUUUAAUAUUUGUAUUACCAUAGUACUCAAUGUUUGGCUAAAAUGUGUAAAUUAGUAAAAAUGUUUCAUUGUGUUGUACAACCAUGAAAGGAAAUAAUGUAAAGAGAUGAGAAGAAUGUAAGGAAACACGCAAGAUUUCCACAAUUUGAAGUUUACUAGUUUCACGCACUUAGUUACUUAUUAAUCUAAUAUUACUGUAAAUGAGCAUUAAGCAACAAAGGGAUAGUUAAUUUAGGAAGAAUUCCUUUUCUGUAGAUAACAAAUACAACUAAUCAGUAUCAUAUUUGAUCCUGUAAUAUAAAUGUAGAAUGACAGUGCAUUUUUAAACUGGUUACAUCAUAUGUGCUGAUAACAUUGCCCGAUUUCACUCUGAAUUUAAAAAUUGAGAGAGCUUGUGCUUUUGAAUCUCAUUAAGAUGUAAAACAAUAUGUAGGAUAUCAAGUAAAUAGAUGCAAUUAGAGAUGAAACUUUGUCUCAGUGACUUAAGAUACAGGUGCUAUUGAAAGAAUGCAUUUGUAACAUAAUACUUUGUAUAUUACUUUUCUGAGUCAUAGCAAUGCAAUCACAUUUUUUUAUUUAGCAAUUGGAUUUUUAAUCCUCUUUCCUUGUAACAGCAUUAUAAGAAACGAACUUAGUUUUCUAGAAAGUUUUACAUUAACUCUUUUCACAUGGAGUUCUUUGGGUUACCGGAGAAUUUAAAGCUUUUUAGUUUGUUAAAUAGUAAAAGAAGGUAGUCUUGAAUUAAUUAAUGUUUUAAAUCUUUAAUUUUCUUCUACCUGAUGAAGGACCAAUAAAGUAUAAUUAAAAUGCUGCUUAGAAAUGACAGCUGCACAUCAAAAGCUUUUUUUUAUAAUAAAUAGUUUCUGUCUUGGA
Molecule: long non-coding RNA, 2973 nt
Organism: Gopherus flavomarginatus (Mexican gopher tortoise)
Lineage: Eukaryota; Metazoa; Chordata; Testudines; Testudinidae
Exons: 2
Source: RefSeq, a predicted model, not a curated record